GAUGAAGAACGUAGCGAAAUGCGAUAAGUAAUGCGAAUUGCAGAAUUCAGUGAGUCAUCGAAUCUUUGAACGCACAUUGCGCCCUGUGGUAUUCCGCAGGGCAUGCCUGUUCGAGCGUCAUUUCAACCCUCAAGCCUCGCUUGGUGUUGGGCCCUGCCCGCCGCGGCCGGCCCUAAAGAUAGUGGCGGCGCCGCCUGGCCCUCAGCGUAGUACAGCUCUCGCUCCAGGGUCCGGCGGCAGCCUGCCAGAACCCCCCAACUCUGUGGUUGACCUCGGAUCAGGUAGGGAUACACGCUGAACUUAAGCAUAUCAAUAAGCGGAGGA
RNAcentral lists this unclassified non-coding RNA (324 nucleotides) under soil metagenome. Its description in RNAcentral is "partial contains 5.8S ribosomal RNA, internal transcribed spacer 2, and large subunit ribosomal RNA". The stretch from base 1 to 120 matches the Rfam family "5.8S ribosomal RNA", at positions 35 to 154 of the family's 154-position model. The record is from RNAcentral.